RNAcentral lists this long non-coding RNA (1551 nucleotides) under Setaria italica (foxtail millet). Its description in RNAcentral is "long non-coding RNA (SITA_LNC003296)". The record is from RNAcentral. Lineage: Eukaryota; Viridiplantae; Streptophyta; Magnoliopsida; Poales; Poaceae.
AUCCUGGAUUAAUGGACUGAAAUUUCUCUUCUUCCUGGACAUAUCAAGCAACAAGCUAACAGGGGAUAUCCCAACCACAUUGAUGGAGAUGCCAAUGCUACAAUCAGAGAAGAAUGCUGCCAAGUUGGACCCAAAGCUCCUUGAGUUACCUGUAUAUUGGACACAAUCAGGUCAAUACCGUGUGCUCAAUGCUUUCCGGUUGGACCCCAAGUUCCUAGAGUUACCUGUAUAUUGGACACCAACACGUCAAUACCGCAUCCUCAAUGCUUUCCCCAUUUUAUUGAAUCUAGGCAACAAUGGCUUCACAGGUUCCAUUCCCCCAGAGAUUGGUCAGUUGAAAAUUCUCAAUGUCCUAAACUUCAGGUCCAACAACUUAUCUGGAAAAAUACCAUGGCAAAUCAGCAACCUCACAAGCCUGCAAGCGCUAGACCUGUCAAACAACCAGCUCACAGGUGAACUCCCAUCCACAUUGAGUGACCUACACUUCCUUUCUAUAUUCAAUGUGUCUAAUAAUGAACUGGAAGGGCCAAUUCCAACUGGAGCACAAUUCGAUACAUUUACCAAUUCUAGCUACGGUGGGAAUCCUAAUCUGUGUGGCGCUGUACUCAGCGUCCACUGCAUCUCCGCAUCAAGACACCAAUCCUCCAUCUCACGAGAACACAAGUUGCAUCGUGCAAUUAUCUUUGGAUUUGUUUUUGGAGGACUUGCUGCUCUUGCAUUGCUGGCAUGCUUCCUGAUUGCAAAAUUGGUAUAUGAUGAUCACACUGAGAACUUAGUUCUCCUUCAGAGGCGGUAGCUUUACUGACUGUAUGAUGCUUUGAGCAUUGUGAUCUUAUUAACCCUUGUAGUUUCAUUCAAUUGAAUCCUAUAGUCCCAUGUACAAUUAUUAGACCUUUUUCUAGAAACUAGUACUUUUUAAUCAUUGUCUGUACAUUGUCCUUAUUGCCGCCAAUUUUGAUAGUUGAUAUACUGACCAGAAAUAUCUUGUAUUAUAUAUUUAUAAAGUAAACUGAGGUUCUCAAAUCAACUCAGCGUGCACAAAGGGACACCUAAAACAAUUCUCUAGACUAGAUGCCGCAGUGCCAAGCUGCUACUGCAGUAAAGCUAGCAUUAUUAGCACAUAACCUAGCUAGUAAAUGUACAUGUAUCUAUAAAGAUUUGGUGGUUCUUAAGCACUAUUAUUUGUUAAAGAGUACUCUUUGUUAAAUCUUCAGUGUGCGAAUCCACCACAUUACCACAAUCUCCAAAAAAAAAUCAUACAGCAACAAGGGGAUUCAAAAUGCACUCUAGAAUUUAAAAAAAAAAAGACGCAGUUUUACCUCGCAGGCUCGAAGCUUUUGACGUUGCGCACGCGCCGGCGUCGGCAGCAGGACUGCAGGAGCAGCGAACGCCCAGUCGCCGCCAUCGACUGUACCCCGUGGCAUUGAGGGGAACCGCCGCUUCAUUCCAUUCCGCGAUCCUUCGGCACUGCGCGUCGCCGAGUGGAGCCGGUACACGUGCCGUGCGUCUCCAUCCCGGAGCGCAGGCGAGUUGCGGCUCCGCCGGCGGCCG